UAGGUACUCCCUCCGUCCCAAAAUUCUUGUCUUAGAUUUGUCUAGAUACGGAUGUACCUAAACAUAAAUAGGUACAUCCGUAUCUAGACAAAUCUAAGACAAGAAUUUUGGGACGGAGGGAGUAGUAC
Non-coding RNA from Triticum aestivum (bread wheat), 128 nucleotides. NCBI's taxonomy places the organism in Eukaryota, Viridiplantae, Streptophyta, Magnoliopsida, Poales, Poaceae. The record is from Rfam.